Oncorhynchus tshawytscha (Chinook salmon) is the source of this 336-nucleotide long non-coding RNA. The record is from Ensembl. NCBI's taxonomy places the organism in Eukaryota, Metazoa, Chordata, Actinopteri, Salmoniformes, Salmonidae.
CAGAGAGGAGACAGAGGAGACAGAGAGGAGACAGAGAUGAGACAGCGAGGAGACAGGGGAGGAGAGAGAGGAGACAGGGGAGACAGAGAGGAGACAGAGAGGAUACAUACAGUAGACAGGGGAGGCAGAGAGGAGACAGAGAGGAGACAGGGGAGGCAGAGAGGAGGCAGAGAGGAGGCAGAGAGGAGGCAGAGAGGAGACAGAGAGGAGACAGAGAGGAGACAGGGGAGGCAGAGAGGAGGCAGAGAGGAGACAGGGGAGGCAGAGAGGAGACAGGGGAUGCAGAGAGGAGGCAGAGAGGAGACAGGGGAGGCAGAGAGGAGACAGAGAGGAGAG